GGUUUCGUAGUGUAACGGUUAUCACACAAGACUCUGAAUCUUGUAAUCCGAGUUCGAUUCUCGGCGAGACCU
RNAcentral lists this transfer RNA (72 nucleotides) under Jimgerdemannia flammicorona. RNAcentral's name for it is "Endogone flammicorona tRNA". It matches the Rfam family "tRNA". From Rfam's summary of the family: Transfer RNA (tRNA) molecules are approximately 80 nucleotides in length. Their secondary structure includes four short double-helical elements and three loops (D, anti-codon, and T loops). The record is from Rfam by way of RNAcentral. Lineage: Eukaryota; Fungi; Mucoromycota; Endogonomycetes; Endogonales; Endogonaceae.